This is a long non-coding RNA of Callorhinus ursinus (northern fur seal), 3077 nucleotides long. RefSeq lists it as uncharacterized. The record is from RefSeq and is a predicted model, not a curated record. NCBI's taxonomy places the organism in Eukaryota, Metazoa, Chordata, Mammalia, Carnivora, Otariidae.
AUAUUUCCCCAUCAGGGUUCUAUUCUGGUAGAGCAGAUGCAGUGUAGCUGAGAAUUCAAUCCUCUCUGUAGCACUGAUACUUCAUGAUUUCGUUGGACCCAACUGUGUCCUCGGCUUUUUCUUCGCUCCCGUCUAGGAGGUAACAGUCUGCACUGUUGCCCAGAAGUCCUCUGACUUUCAUACAUAACCUUUCCAUGUGUGAUCAGUCAGUCUUCACUUUGCAUUGUCUUUCUCCGAAGGAUUAAUGCCCAGCAACAGCCAACCAAACCCAUAGUUCUUAUACUUACCAACUCAUUUCCAGAAUGCCAGGGUACGUCCCUCCUCUGCUUACUCCUUUGCAAGUCACCAUGGUGAGGUUUCAGCAGUGACAAGAGCAGGGCAAGCUGGCACCUACCCUGCUCUACCUCCUCCCAGGGCUGGGGGCCUCUUGGCCAGCCAAAUGAUAAAGACGCUGCUCCAAAAGUGCCCAUUAGAGCUGACUUUCCAGACCCCACCCAGACAAACUCCACACAUCAGACCCAAGGCUAUCUACUCCACUCCUGGUGGCUCUCAUCCUGGGCCCAAAGCUGCUGCUGCUCAUCAUUGUCUCUGUCAUCUAUGCUCACAAGUAGCAAGGGCCUGACUGUCCUUCCUUCCUCCCCUGCUACAUGCCACCCUCAGACUCUGCUGCCUGCUCCAUUCCCUGAAGGGCCCAGCCUAAGAGAAGGAACAACUAGAAGCUUCCACAAUUCUGACCCAGAUGCCUUGCUUCCCAUGAGACACACCUGCCCAGAGCUCCUGCUGCUCCUUCUCAGGGUCCUUGAUGCCCCCAGAGCUAGGUCUUCAUACCAGGUCCUCAGCAGGGGCCAUGGGAACUUGAUCUGGGGACUGAUGCAUGGAUCUCUGCCUGGAAUGUGAGAAACAAGUCACAUCUACACAGAGCAAGUAUCUCUCAUCCAUCUCCUGGGGACCGUGACCAUGAACUACACACUCAUGUCCAUGUUCUCAGGAGUUAUUUCUGCCAAGCCCCAGCCUCCCCAGCCUUGGUGAGGUUCUCCAUUUGGUCUUAAAUAGAAUGCAUCCCAUCCUGGUUUGCAGAGGAGAAAUGAUUUCUUUCUUCUUUGCCUACAUGUGCUACUCUUCAGUCCCAGAGGGAAGAUUCACUCCUCCCUGUGAUGGGAACACUGCUCUUCUGUCCCCUUCAUCCUUCCCAACCCCACUGCUCAUGCACUCGGGCUGGCAGUCCAGAAGCCUAAAGCCAUCCUUAACAUUCUUUCUUUAUAUCUCACAUUCAAUUCUGCCUUCAGAAUGCUGUGUCCAGUGGUAGGAUGGUAAACGUGAAACAAUCCACUCUCAAAAAGAAAAAGAAGCCUGAUUGGUAGUGCUUGUGGACUUCUGUGAUGUCAACACUUCCACCGUGACCAAUUACAAGCUAACGGUGUUUAACAACUCACUUGUAAAAUUCCUGAAAAGCUCUCAGGAGUGAGUGCAAGGCUCCUCCCACACUCCAGUGAGCUCCACCCAGAAUCUGCGCACUGCUCACUCCCAGGGCUGCUCUCUGGUCUCAGCCAGCAGCAUUCCUUCAUGGACUAUUGCUUUGUCUCUAACAGGCUCUCCAGUUUAAGCCACAGUGAUUCUAUGGAAAUGGAAGUCAAACGUGUCUCUCCUCUGCUUCUUGCCCCUAUGAACCUGUGUGGCUCAUCUCUCCCUCUUUCAAGCUCUGCUGACAUGUCACUUUAUUAAAAGUCCCUUCCAUAAACCACCCUACAUAAAAUAUCAGUUCUUCUCUCUCACCCUCUGUUCCCAUGGCUCAUAACCUAAUUAAAUUGUUUCCCUAGAACUCAGGAUUAGCUGACAUGAUAAGUGGAGGCAGUGCUCAUGUUGCGCAAUAGUGCAGGACAGAACAAUGAUGGUGUAGCUGAAACCAUGCAAAGUGAUCUCAACAAUAAGCAGGAGAAUCACGAUUUUCUGUGAGUUUUAAAAACUUUUUCAAAACACAGAAACUCUCCAACUGUCAAUUAUGAAUGAUAAGAAAAUUAAAAAAACAAUGGAACCAUAUUUAUUUGGUAUACUAUCAUUUCACAUAUUAGAAACACAAAGAAGGGAAGCAUUUAAUUUUUUUGUAAAGACUCAUCAAGAAUAGUUUGCACAGUGCUUACCUUCUUCUGAUCACAUAGUUGGCCAUAUAGACCAGCAUCAGAAUUCCCUCACUCCAGUUUCAAAUAGGAUCAGCAUCCAACAUCCCAUCCCUUGCACUUCCAAUGUAUGAAAUUCUUACGUUAAUUUGAAUAUUUCUGGUGUCACAUCCUCUGGGACAAUUUCACCCUCCCUCCCCAUCAUAUUCUUCAGUGACGUGGUAAGAGUGCCUCACUCUGCUCCUCUGGCUGCAUAUCCACACUCUGGGGACCAGCAUCCCGGUCACCAUUCCCAUGGGAGCUAUGCCUUCAUGAGCCCCACUCACAUUCAGUUUGAACUUCACCUCCACUCUCAUCUCUUCUCAUUUCUACAUCCCACUUUCUGCUUUUUGCCAAUUCCCUUUUGACAUUAUUCACUUUUGUACAAUGUCACCUGGGCUCCUCGCUGGGAGACCAGGAGACAACAAAACCACCUGCAUUGCUGUUUGUGGGAAAGUGAGUAACAGAGUCACAGAGAACGACCACUACAUGCUUUGAAAGAUGUGAUGCUUACUUAUGGGGAUAAGCACCUGUUAGUCAUAUAGGGAUUGGUAGCCUGAAGAAGAACUGGCAGAAAGUUUGUACUUCAUGCAAUUGCUCAUGGAAAAUUACUCCGUGGUAAAUGAAACUGGAAUCAUGUGUUGGGGGACUGAUGUUACUUAACUGACCUAUGGCAACAGACAUUCGUGCACAUCAGCACCAUGCAAACUGAGAACUGCCUAUUGUGUGUGCUUGUCUCUUCCUCAAAUAGGAUGUGGACUCUGACAGAGAAGGGACAGUCUGUGUCCUCAGUUGUCAGAACAAUGACGGCCAUGAGUUUGGCCAUCACAUUUUUAAAACAUAAAUUGGGGAACAAUUCAUUGCAAACAGCAGUUUCUACCAGAUGUUGGGUAUUAAAAUACCAUUUCACUUCGUUCAAAGCUA